GAUGGAUGAGUCAUCUCACCAUCCGUCUGAGUAUGCUCGGCAUGCCAUCUCAUCUUUCCAGCAGUCUGCUCUGAUUGAUACAAUCUUUUCAAUCUGUCUGUAAUUGGUAGGUACCACAUCCUUUGGUACGGUACCCUAUUACGUCCCCGUCCUUGCGGCUUGAAUCGUGGCUUCUUGCAGAAUCGACAUUCUUCUAGCUUCUCAUCAUCUCUCCAAUAGAUCAUGCAGUUGUCGAUGCAAACAUCUAUCAUCUCCGAAGGCAACCCAAGACUAUAAACCAGUUUCUGAAUCUCAUAAUAAGAAUCAGCAGACACAUUGUCUUCCGGCAAAUACUCUUUAAACAAGUCCGCCC
RNAcentral lists this long non-coding RNA (352 nucleotides) under Brassica napus (rape). RNAcentral's name for it is "long non-coding RNA (BNAP_LNC016738)". Lineage: Eukaryota; Viridiplantae; Streptophyta; Magnoliopsida; Brassicales; Brassicaceae. The record is from RNAcentral.